This 486-nucleotide ribosomal RNA is filed under the name uncultured bacterium. Its description in RNAcentral is "partial 16S ribosomal RNA". It matches the Rfam family "Bacterial small subunit ribosomal RNA", at positions 30 to 507 of the family's 1533-position model. The record is from RNAcentral.
AUUGAACGCUGGCGGCAUGCCUUACACAUGCAAGUCGAACGGCAGCACGGGUGCUUGCACCUGGUGGCGAGUGGCGAACGGGUGAGUAAUACAUCGGAACAUGUCCUGUAGUGGGGGAUAGCCCGGCGAAAGCCGGAUUAAUACCGCAUACGAUCUACGGAUGAAAGCGGGGGACCUUCGGGCCUCGCGCUAUAGGGUUGGCCGAUGGCUGAUUAGCUAGUUGGUGGGGUAAAGGCCUACCAAGGCGACGAUCAGUAGCUGGUCUGAGAGGACGACCAGCCACACUGGAACUGAGACACGGCCCAGACUCCUACGGGAGGCAGCAGUGGGGAAUUUUGGACAAUGGGUGAAAGCCUGAUCCAGCAAUGCCGCGUGUGUGAAGAAGGCCUUCGGGUUGUAAAGCACUUUUGUCCGGAAAGAAAUCCUUGGCCCUAAUACGGUCGGGGGAUGACGGUACCGGAAGAAUAAGCACCGGCUAACUACGUG